This 452-nucleotide ribosomal RNA is filed under the name uncultured organism. Its description in RNAcentral is "partial 16S ribosomal RNA". It matches the Rfam family "Bacterial small subunit ribosomal RNA", at positions 332 to 800 of the family's 1533-position model. The record is from RNAcentral.
UACACUUCUGCGGGAGACAGCAGUGGGGAAUAUUGGACAAUGGGCGCAAGCCUGAUCCAGCCAUGCCGCGUGAGUGAUGAAGGCCCUAGGGUUGUAAAGCUCUUUCACCGGUGAAGAUAAUGACGGUAACCGGAGAAGAAGCCCCGGCUAACUUCGUGCCAGCAGCCGCGGUAAUACGAAGGGGGCUAGCGUUGUUCGGAUUUACUGGGCGUAAAGCGCACGUAGGCGGACUAUUAAGUCAGGGGUGAAAUCCCGGGGCUCAACCCCGGAACUGCCUUUGAUACUGGUAGUCUUGAGUUCGAGAGAGGUGAGUGGAAUUCCGAGUGUAGAGGUGAAAUUCGUAGAUAUUCGGAGGAACACCAGUGGCGAAGGCGGCUCACUGGCUCGAUACUGACGCUGAGGUGCGAAAGCGUGGGGAGCAAACAGGAUUAGAAACACCAGUAGUCCCAUGA